CCACCCGCCGUUAGCUACAGAAGAAAACACAAUACCAACCGAAUCGGACGUACCGCGGAUCGCGACCGUUGCGCGCGUUUAAAGUGUGUGACUAUUUUUUUGUUGUUUUGCGUGCAAUUCGACGCGCGCGAAUAUUUGUAAAUUGUUCAUCAGUUAACUAAUAAAGAGAAAAUGCAGUAAACAAAAGUGAGUUAAUAUCAUGCGCUAUUGUCUAUGUCUUAGCUAAAAUUGAUGGCACCAAUUGUUGUGCCGCCAAAGGUCCGCCCUAAUACACUUGUCGGUCUGAGCUGACUUUUGAAUUGAGCUGUUGUGCCAGUGUUCAGCCUAAUUAGCGCACGCUGCUGCUAUUUACACUUUGUGUCCUAGGGAGACAGAUACACAUGCCGUUGCUGCAGCAGCAGCAGGGUGUGUUCCUUCCUGUGCCUUUUCGCUCGUGCUUUUGUGUGUGUGUGUGUGGAUUGUGAACCUGUGCUAAAAAUCAAUAAAGCACGCUUGUGCAAAAGUCAAACAACAAAGAGACGGCAAGUCCUGCUCCUGUUUCGCUCAUACUCCCACAGUUAGAUAUGAACACAUGUGCGUGACGACAACUAACAAUAAAAUCCGCAGCAAUUAGAGAACUUGGCAAUUAUGCGCGUCGCUUUGUGCAAUUGAAAUUGCAGUUGAAGUUGA
Long non-coding RNA from Drosophila navojoa, 669 nucleotides. Lineage: Eukaryota; Metazoa; Arthropoda; Insecta; Diptera; Drosophilidae. The record is from RefSeq and is a predicted model, not a curated record.